RNAcentral lists this ribosomal RNA (254 nucleotides) under uncultured bacterium. Its description in RNAcentral is "partial 16S ribosomal RNA". It matches the Rfam family "Bacterial small subunit ribosomal RNA", at positions 524 to 776 of the family's 1533-position model. The record is from RNAcentral.
UACGUAGGGUGCGAGCGUUGUCCGGAAUUAUUGGGCGUAAAGAGCUCGUAGGCGGUGUGUCACGUCGUUCGUGAAAACCUGCAGCUUAACUGUGGGCGUGCGGUCGAUACGGGCAUCACUGGAGUUCGGCAGGGGAGACUGGAAUUCCUGGUGUAGCGGUGAAAUGCGCAGAUAUCGUAAGGAAGACCAGUGGCGAAGGCGGGUCUCUGGACAGUUCCUGACGCUGAGGCACGAAGGCCAGGGGAGCAAACGGG